GAAGUGAAACAUUACGCAGUACAGUAUGAAGGCUGUCCGCAGCUGGAGUAUUUUAUUACCCUUGUCUUUUGCGCACUUGUUGUUUCCUGGGCGGGUUCGCUCGCCACCAGGACCACCAAAUAAACCUUUUUUAUGCAGUUGCAAUCAGCGUCAGUACAAACAAUGUAAAUCAUUUACAACUUUCAACAACGGAUCUCUUGGUUCUGGCAUCGAUGAAGAACGCAGCGAAAUGCGAUACGUAGUGUGAAUUGCAGAAUUCAGUGAAUCAUCGAAUCUUUGAACGCACAUUGCGCCCUUUGGUAUUCCAAAGGGCAUGCCUGUUCGAGCGUCAUUUGUACCCUCAAGCUUUGCUUGGUGUUGGGCGUUUUUGUCUUUGGUCGCCCAAAGACUCGCCUUAAAGUGAUUGGCAGCCGGCCUUUCUGGUUUCGCAGCGCAGCACAUUUUUGCGCUUGCCAUCAGCAAAACGGCAAUCCAUCAAGCCUCCUUCUCACGUUUGACCUCGGAUCAGGUAGGGAUACCCGCUGAACUUAAGCAUAUCAUUAAAGCGGAGGACAAGCAUAUGACAAACCAGUGGAAGGCUGUCCGCACUGGAAUAUUAAUUACUUGUCUUUGCCCUGUUGUUCGGGCGGUUCUCCCCGGACAAAAACUUUUUUAGCAUUCUCGCGCAAAAAGAAAUUAAUACAAAUUGGGUGGGCAAAAAAACAAAGGAAAAGGGGAAGUAAAA
RNAcentral lists this ribosomal RNA (724 nucleotides) under Bipolaris sp. 1 TT-2014. RNAcentral describes it as "eukaryotic LSU rRNA". The stretch from base 178 to 331 matches the Rfam family "5.8S ribosomal RNA". Lineage: Eukaryota; Fungi; Ascomycota; Dothideomycetes; Pleosporales; Pleosporaceae. The record is from RNAcentral.